This 254-nucleotide ribosomal RNA is filed under the name uncultured bacterium. Its description in RNAcentral is "partial 16S ribosomal RNA". It matches the Rfam family "Bacterial small subunit ribosomal RNA", at positions 524 to 776 of the family's 1533-position model. The record is from RNAcentral.
UACGGGGGGAGCAAGCGUUGUUCGGAUUUACUGGGCGUAAAGGGCGCGUAGGCGGCCAGCACAAGUCAGUUGUGAAAUCUCCGAGCUUAACUCGGAAAGGUCAACUGAUACUGUGCGGCUAGAGUGCGGAAGGGGCAACUGGAAUUCUUGGUGUAGCGGUGAAAUGCGUAGAGAUGUGGAGGAACACCGAUGGCGAAGGCAGCCUCCUGGGCCAGCACUGACGCUCAUGCACGAAAGCGUGGGGAGCAAACAGG